CAGGCAGGGCUGGGGAGGGCUGAGCCGGCCUCUCCCAGUCUCAUGGGAGGGUUUCAUUGGGUCUGUUUCCCGAAGACCAACCUGCUUAAAGGUAAUGCGCAUUGGUCGGGAAGGCAGAUCUUCAGCCCUCGGAAGCGGAUGUUGACGUCAUAAAGUUCCACCCUCGUCUGGGAUCCUCAUUCACCUGAAAACAGUCAAGAGUUGGAAAAAUUGGGUGAUGACAAGGGCCUGGUCAGAUGUCUUCAAAAGGAGAUCGAUUCAAUAAACAGCCUCUUAUCUGCCGUGGUUACUUUACUCCUUCACAUCCCUGAUCAAAUCCAGUCAGAGAUGGGAACGUACCCCUUUCCUUGGUGGAGGAUUGGGGAGCCAAGCUUCAAAAUGUGGGUACAGAAGGGAGAGACCCAGUUGGGAAGCUAUGAAGACAUCAGGAAGGUUGAGAAACCUCUCUGAACCUUAGAUCCCACAUCUGAAAGAAAGAGAAGAGGAUGGGAGCAGAGCUGAGAUGGAUGCUAGAUAAACAGCCAGGAGUGUCCAAUUCUAAGGGUCCAAGUUAGAACCCAAGGAUGUCCCUUCUAGAAGCUUCCAGAUGAUUCAUGAACCACACUCGGAGAAUCUUGGCCCACUCCAUGCUGCAUGUGUCAGCAAGUUCCCUGAAAGCACUUUUGCAGAGCUUCUUUGCGACAUCUGAAGUGACAGGCAGAUCCAACUUUGGGCAAAGGGCCAAGAAGUCACACUCCAGGAGGCAGGAGCAGGGUAGAAUCAAGUUGUCAUCAGUCGUCAGCUUGUCCUUCAUUCUGGAGUAACAAGACAUCGGGGAUUGGGGCUUUUUCCUUUGGUUUUAAAUAAGAAAAUGAUCUCUUCUCAUGUCCUAAUAGAGAGAAGGACAAUAAAAAAAAA
Molecule: long non-coding RNA, 897 nt
Filed under: Equus caballus (horse)
Lineage: Eukaryota; Metazoa; Chordata; Mammalia; Perissodactyla; Equidae
Description: lncRNA (ENSECAG00000028004.3)
Source: RNAcentral